This 498-nucleotide long non-coding RNA is filed under the name Rattus norvegicus (Norway rat). RNAcentral's name for it is "long non-coding RNA NONRATT032445". The record is from RNAcentral. Lineage: Eukaryota; Metazoa; Chordata; Mammalia; Rodentia; Muridae.
CACCACUGGUUCUGUAGCAGAACACAACCGUGGGGCUCUUAUUAAGAAACUCUGGGCUGAAGGAAUCCAGAGAGAGGCAUUGCAUUGCUUCUCAUGGGAAAGUCAGCAGUUUUUCUUCUGGCUUUCUUGGCUACUAGCUACUAUUUCUCAUAUAUUAUUGGUGAAACUUCAUUCAAGGUCAUUUCAUGCAGCCAUUAUCAGAAGAAGUCUGUACAGAGGAAGCACACAUGCUCCAUAAGAGUCAGCCCGCUAUGUGCUUCUAACAAUGUCACAUAUCCUAAUUCCUGCGUGUACUGUUUCGCCAACAUAGCUUUGGAUCUCACUCUUCAAAUCCAGUACAGUGGAAAAUGUCUGAAGUCCACUUCCUGAUUAUUCUUCAUUCAUCAUUAAAUGAGACACUCAAAGCGAGCAUCAUCUUUUCUUUGUAAGGCGCAAAACUUGUUGUUAUUAUUAUCUUAUUUAAAAAUCAAUAAAUUUUAUCAUCUGAAAAGUUCUUUG